This 339-nucleotide ribosomal RNA is filed under the name Triticum aestivum (bread wheat). RNAcentral's name for it is "partial small subunit ribosomal RNA". The record is from RNAcentral. Lineage: Eukaryota; Viridiplantae; Streptophyta; Magnoliopsida; Poales; Poaceae.
AUGAGUUCUUCGAUUCGUCGGAUUCAGGUGAAGAAGUGGACAUUCAUGCUCAUGAGCAUGCAAGAGAAAAUGGACCAGCAAGUGGAGCAUAUUCUCAACUUCAAGGGCUCAAUCAAAGGUAGAAGAGUGAUUAAUCGGGUUAGGGUGUCCGGAGCAUGGCUACCGCGCAAUGACUACUUUGCUCCAAACCCAACUUUCCUGGACAAUCCAUGGUUUUGUCGCCGUUUUCGCAUGCGAAAACCAUUGUUUUUGCGCAUUAUGGAGGGAGUGGAGGCACAUGAUGGCUACUUCAGGCUCACAAGGGAUUGCUGCGGCCAACUUUCUUUUUGUGCUAAGUAG